Molecule: ribosomal RNA, 253 nt
Filed under: uncultured bacterium
Lineage: Bacteria
Description: partial 16S ribosomal RNA
Rfam family: Bacterial small subunit ribosomal RNA
Source: RNAcentral
UACAGAGGGGGCAAGCGUUGUUCGGAAUUACUGGGCGUAAAGGGCGCGUAGGCGGCCUGUUAAGUCGGACGUGAAAUCCCUCGGCUCAACCGGGGAACUGCGUCUGAUACUGGCGGGCUUGAAUUCGGGGGAGGGAUGUGGAAUUCCAGGUGUAGCGGUGAAAUGCGUAGAUAUCUGGAGGAACACCGGUGGCGAAGGCGGCAUCCUGGACCGACAUUGACGCUGAGGCGCGAAAGCCAGGGGAGCAAACGGG